This is a long non-coding RNA of Camelina sativa (false flax), 1403 nucleotides long. RefSeq lists it as uncharacterized. Lineage: Eukaryota; Viridiplantae; Streptophyta; Magnoliopsida; Brassicales; Brassicaceae. The record is from RefSeq and is a predicted model, not a curated record.
UCGUGACGAUUUUAAACUAAAGAUCUAAACCUUUUUUUUUGGCUAAUCUCUUCUCUCGUCGAUCUCUCUGAAACUCGAUUGGAAACCCCUCAAACUCGAUCCCAAAUUUGUUUGUCUUAUCAUUCAUUUUCGAUCCCUCUCAGUCUCAGUUAAUCCCUCUCAGUCAUUAUCCCUCUGAGUCAGAUUCAUCGACGAUCUACAACAUCCUCUCAUAGUGAGGAGUAACAUGCAUCAAUCCAAAUCGAAUUGGUGAGCUCGAAAUUCACACAGAAGGGUAAAAUAUAAUUUUGGGUGUUCGUUAUUUGCAGUGAUUUAGUGUUUAAAUCAUGUUGGGUUUGAUCCGUUUAGUUGUUUCGCUCUAUUGGAGGAAGAUUUCAGUUUCAGUAGUUCUACUUUCAAUUUGGGUUUUGGAUUGAUGCUUUUUUGAGUUGAUUUUUCUGAUGAUAAUUGUGUAUUUCUGAUAAACUGCAUACCGCCGCCGAGCCCGAGCCUAGGGAAAACGGGAUCGUUUGGUCGGUAGAGAAAGACGUGACCAGUUGAAUUUUGCACCUAUUAGAAGAACUAACAUGUAUAUGAUAAAUUUAAGUUGGAAGCAGUGGAUACUUAUGGUGAGACUCCAUUGCACAUGGCAGCCGAGGACGGUUGGCCGGUUGAAAUGAAGCUGCAAAAUUACUCCUUCAGAGUGGUGAUUAUUGAAGCCAAAGCCAGCGUAAUUUCCCAAUUCUUUAUAGUUAUUUGUCUUCCCUUUUUGUAAUGUGAAAUUUUUGCAGCUCUACUUCAUUGACAACAGCUUGGACUAAUUUGUUUUUUGGUUUUGGUUACUUUAUUCCUCGUUUCGAUUAGAUUUAGCAAUUUUGUUCCAUUUCAGUGUUUAGAUGAUCGAGUUUUGCUGUUGAUAUAUGUGAAUGGUAAGACUUAUGUUUCUUUUUGACAAAAUGGUAAGACUUCUAUUUCUUUUUGACAAAAGUUUGACAAAAAGUUUUACAUUACUACUUGCUAUUGAGAUUCAAACUUAACACAUUUUUCUUUUUAUACACUUGCAGGUGUAGUCAUAUUUUCAGUUUUAUGUACAAGUGAAAUUAAUAAUUUAUGUUAUUUAUUUCCUGAGGUUACUUAACGAAUUGAAAUGUAAGCUAAUGCAUAUCUUUUGCCAAGUUGCACGGUUUGGAAGAAGAUAUUGCAGAUGAACUUCCGCAGUUUUGGAUCAGCCAUAGUGAAGGGAAAAAAUCCAAAUUCUCAAGAUGUCGUUGACUAUAUAAUACUAUAAAUAUUUUUUUUUCUUGUAUAUAUUUUCAAAAUGUCGUUAUUUUCUUCGGUAUCUUUAUUUUGUAAAUAAAAUUUUAUCAAUAUUUAUGUAAAAAGAAUGAUUGGCACUUGUGAAAAAUACUACAUAUUCGUAAUUA